AUUGAACGCUGGCGGCAGGCCUAACACAUGCAAGUCGAGCGGAUGAAGGGAGCUUGCUCCUGGAUUCAGCGGCGGACGGGUGAGUAAUGCCUAGGAAUCUGCCUGGUCGUGGGGGAUAACGUCCGGAAACGGGCGCUAAUACCGCAUACGUCCUGAGGGAGAAAGUGGGGGAUCUUCGGACCUCACGCUAUCAGAUGAGCCUAGGUCGGAUUAGCUAGUUGGUGGGGUAACGGCCUACCAAGGCGACGAUCCGUAACUGGUCUGAGAGGAUGAUCAGUCACACUGGAACUGAGACACGGUCCAGACUCCGGCGGGAGGAAGCAGUGGGGAAUAUUGGACGAUGGGGGAAAGCCUGAUCCAGCAAUGCCGCGUGUGUGAAGAAGGUCUUCGGAUUGUAAAGCACUUUAAGUUGGGAGGAAGGGCAGUAAGUUAAUACCUUGCUGUUUUGACGUUACCAACAGAAUAAGCACCGGCUAACUUCGUG
RNAcentral lists this ribosomal RNA (484 nucleotides) under uncultured bacterium. RNAcentral's name for it is "partial 16S ribosomal RNA". It matches the Rfam family "Bacterial small subunit ribosomal RNA", at positions 30 to 507 of the family's 1533-position model. The record is from RNAcentral.